UCUCACCCCUUGUGCAUCACCGCGUGGGUCCCCCUUUGCCGGAGGGCCCGCGUCUUUACACAAAACUCGAUACAGUGUAGAACGUUUAUUUUCGCGCUCGCACGCGAUCAACAAUACAACUUUCAACAACGGAUCUCUUGGCUCUCGCAUCGAUGAAGAACGCAGCGAAAUGCGAUACGUAAUGUGAAUUGCAGAAUUCAGUGAAUCAUCGAAUCUUUGAACGCACCUUGCGCCCCUUGGCAUUCCGAGGGGCACACCCGUUUGAGUGUCGUGAAAUCUUCAAAAACCCUCUCUUUCGAGGGGGAUUUUUGGACUUGGAGGUUCGAUGCUCGCUUUCGCCUUUUAGAAAGCGAGCUCCUCUCNNUGAAUCAGUGGGGUCUGCUUUGCCGGUCCUUGACGUGAUAAGAUCUUUCUACGUUUUGNACUCGACAUCGUCCCGCUCCCAAUCGUCCCCACGGACAAAGGAUGGUGCUCCGGUCGCGGCCGGACCCAAAAA
Molecule: ribosomal RNA, 496 nt
Filed under: uncultured Russula
Lineage: Eukaryota; Fungi; Basidiomycota; Agaricomycetes; Russulales; Russulaceae
Description: eukaryotic LSU rRNA
Rfam family: 5.8S ribosomal RNA (bases 118-271)
Source: RNAcentral